Molecule: ribosomal RNA, 422 nt
Filed under: Allobates crombiei group sp. ABGD cluster 7
Lineage: Eukaryota; Metazoa; Chordata; Amphibia; Anura; Aromobatidae
Description: partial large subunit ribosomal RNA
Rfam family: Bacterial large subunit ribosomal RNA
Source: RNAcentral
CCUGUUUAACUAUAAGAGGUCCAGCCUGCCCAGUGACAUUGUUCAACGGCCGCGGUAUCCUAACCGUGCGAAGGUAGCGUAAUCACUUGUUCUUUAAAUGAGGACUAGUAUGAACGGCUUCACGAAAGCUAUACUGUCUCCUUUAUCCAAUCAGUUAAACUAAUCUCCCCGUGAAGAAGCGAGGAUAUAUAUAUAAGACGAGAAGACCCUAUGGAGCUUUAAACACUUAAACACUUGCACUAUAAACAUAGAACUUUCAGAAAACUAUCUCAAACUUACCAUUUUGUUUUAAGUUUUAGGUUGGGGUGACCACGGAGAAAAAUCUAACCUCCACGUAGAAAGAAACUCUUUUCUAAGCAAAAAACCACACCUUUACGCAUCAACAUAUUGACCUAAAUUGACCCAUUAUUUGAUCAACGAAC